GUCUGGGGAUCUGCCCGAUAGAGGGGGAUAACCACUGGAAACGGUGGCUAAUACCGCAUAACGUCGCAAGACCAAAGAGGGGGACCUUCGGGCCUCUCACUAUCAGAUGAACCCAGAUGGGAUUAGCUAGUAGGCGGGGUAACGGCCCACCUAGGCGACGAUCCCUAGCUGGUCUGAGAGGAUGACCAGCCACACUGGAACUGAGACACGGUCCAGACUCCUACGGGAGGCAGCAGUGGGGAAUAUUGCACAAUGGGCGCAAGCCUGAUGCAGCCAUGCCGCGUGUAUGAAGAAGGCCUUCGGGUUGUAAAGUACUUUCAGCGGGGAGGAAGGCAGUGAGGUUAAUAACCUUACUGAUUGACGUUACCCGCAGAAGAAGCACCGGCUAACUCCGUGCCAGCAGCCGCGGUAAUACGGAGGGUGCAAGCGUUAAUCGGAAUUACUGGGCGUAAAGCGCACGCAGGCGGUCUGUUAAGUCAGAUGUGAAAUCCCCGGGCUUAACCUGGGAACUGCAUUUGAAACUGGCAGGCUUGAGUCUCGUAGAGGGGGGUAGAAUUCCAGGUGUAG
This 567-nucleotide ribosomal RNA is filed under the name uncultured Pantoea sp. RNAcentral describes it as "bacterial SSU rRNA". It matches the Rfam family "Bacterial small subunit ribosomal RNA", at positions 115 to 678 of the family's 1533-position model. Lineage: Bacteria; Pseudomonadati; Pseudomonadota; Gammaproteobacteria; Enterobacterales; Erwiniaceae. The record is from RNAcentral.